CGGAGGCCAUUGCUAUCAGGGUUUGACUAAGCCAUGCGAGUCGAGAGGUGUAAGACCUCGGCAUACUGCUCAGUAACACGUGGUUAACCUGCCCUAAGGUGGAGAAUACUCCCGGGAAACUGGGGCUAAUGCUCCAUAGUGGAUAUGUCCUGGAAUGGUAUAUCCUCGAAAGAUCCGUCGCCUUAGGAUGGGACUGCGUCCGAUUAGGUUGUUGGCGGGGUAACGGCCCACCAAGCCUUUUAUCGGUACGGGUUGUGGGAGCAAGAUCCCGGAGAUGGAUUCUGAGACAUGAAUCCAGGCCCUACGGGGCGCAGCAGGCGCGCAAACUUUACAAUGCGAGCAAUCGUGAUAAGGAAACCCUGAGUGCCUGUCGAUGCAGGCUGUUCAUAUAUCUAAAUCAUAUGUGAAGAAAGGGCAGGGCAAGACCGGUGCCAGCCGCCGCGGUAAUACCGGCUGCUCGAGUGAUGGCCACUAUUACUGGGUUUAAAGCGUCCGUAGCUUGACUGUUAGGUCUCUUGGGAAAUCUUCGCGCUCAACGUGAAGGCGUCUAAGAGAUACCGGCAGUCUUGGAACUGGGAGAGGUAAACCGUACUUCGGGGGUAGGAGUGAAAUCUUGUAAUCCUCGAGGGACGACCUAUGGCGAAGGCAGUUUACCAGAACAGCUUCGACAGUGAGGGACGAAAGCUGGGGGAGCAAACGGGAUUAGAUACCCCGGUAGUCCCAGCCGUAAACAAUGUGCGUUAGGUGUGUCGGUAAC
RNAcentral lists this ribosomal RNA (757 nucleotides) under uncultured Methanocorpusculum sp. Its description in RNAcentral is "bacterial SSU rRNA". It matches the Rfam family "Archaeal small subunit ribosomal RNA", at positions 18 to 783 of the family's 1478-position model. Lineage: Archaea; Methanobacteriati; Methanobacteriota; Methanomicrobia; Methanomicrobiales; Methanocorpusculaceae. The record is from RNAcentral.